RNAcentral lists this ribosomal RNA (774 nucleotides) under uncultured fungus. RNAcentral describes it as "eukaryotic LSU rRNA". It matches the Rfam family "Eukaryotic large subunit ribosomal RNA", at positions 30 to 821 of the family's 3401-position model. Lineage: Eukaryota; Fungi. The record is from RNAcentral.
GAACUUAAGCAUAUCAAUAAGCGGAGGAAAAGAAACCAACAGGGAUUGCCUCAGUAACGGCGAGUGAAGCGGCAACAGCUCAAAUUUGAAAUCUGGCUCUUUCAGGGUCCGAGUUGUAAUUUGUAGAAGAUGCUUUGGGUGUGGCUCCGGUCUAAGUUCCUUGGAACAGGACGUCAUAGAGGGUGAGAAUCCCGUACGUGACUGGGUGCCUUCGCCCGUGUAAAGCUCUUUCGACGAGUCGAGUUGUUUGGGAAUGCAGCUCAAAAUGGGUGGUAAAUUUCAUCUAAAGCUAAAUAUUGGCCAGAGACCGAUAGCGCACAAGUAGAGUGAUCGAAAGAUGAAAAGCACUUUGGAAAGAGAGUUAAACAGUACGUGAAAUUGUUGAAAGGGAAGCGCUUGCAACCAGACUUGCGCGCUGUUGAUCAUCCGGGCUUUUGCCCGGUGCACUCGGCAGCGCUCAGGCCAGCAUCGGUUUUGGUGGGCGGAUAAAGGCCUUGGGAAUGUAGCUCUCUUCGGGGAGUGUUAUAGCCCUCGGUGCAAUGCGCCCUACCGGGACCGAGGACCGCGCUUCGGCUAGGAUGCUGGCGUAAUGGUUGUAAGCGACCCGUCUUGAAACACGGACCAAGGAGUCUAACAUCUAUGCGAGUGUUUGGGUGUCAAACCCAUACGCGUAAUGAAAGUGAACGGAGGUGAGAACCCUUAAGGGUGCAUCAUCGACCGAUCCUGAUGUCUUCGGAUGGAUUUGAGUAAGAGCAUAGCUGUUGGGACCCGAAA